CCGGCGAUGUCCGAAUGGGGAAACCCAGUGCAAUUCGUUGCACUAUCGUUAACUGAAUACAUAGGUUAACGAGGCGAACCGGGGGAACUGAAACAUCUAAGUACCCCGAGGAAAAGAAAUCAACCGAGAUUCCCCCAGUAGCGGCGAGCGAACGGGGAGCAGCCCAGAGUCUGAAUCAGCUUGUGUGUUAGUGGAACGGUCUGGAAAGUCCGACGGUACAGGGUGAUAGUCCCGUACACCAAAAUGCACAGGCUGUGAACUCGAAGAGUAGGGCGGGACACGUGGUAUCCUGUCUGAAUAUGGGGGGACCAUCCUCCAAGGCUAAAUACUCCUGACUGACCGAUAGUGAACCAGUACCGUGAGGGAAAGGCGAAAAGAACCCCGGCGAGGGGAGUGAAAAAGAACCUGAAACCGUGUACGUACAAGCAGUGGGAGCACCUUCGGGUGUGACUGCGUACCUUUUGUAUAAUGGGUCAGCGACUUAUAUUCUGUAGCAAGGUUAACCGUAUAGGGGAGCCGCAGGGAAACCGAGUCUUAACUGGGCGUUAAGUUGCAGGGUAUAGACCCGAAACCCGGUGAUCUAGCCAUGGGCAGGUUGAAGGUUGGGUAACACUAACUGGAGGACCGAACCGACUAAUGUUGAAAAAUUAGCGGAUGACUUGUGGCUGGGGGUGAAAGGCCAAUCAAACCGGGAGAUAGCUGGUUCUCCCCGAAAGCUAUUUAGGUAGCGCCUCGUGAACUCAUCUUCGGGGGUAGAGCACUGUUUCGGCUAGGGGGUCAUCCCGACUUACCAACCCGAUGCAAACUACGAAUACCGAAGAAUGUUAUCACGGGAGACACACGGCGGGUGCUAACGUCCGUCGUGAAGAGGGAAACAACCCAGACCGCCAGCUAAGGUCCCAAAGUCAUGGUUAAGUGGGAAACGAUGUGGGAAGGCACAGACAGCCAGGAUGUUGGCUUAGAAGCAGCCAUCAUUUAAAGAAAGCGUAAUAGCUCACUGGUCGAGUCGGCCUGCGCGGAAGAUGUAACGGGGCUAAACCAUGCACCGAAGCUGCGGCAGCGACACUAUGUGUUGUUGGGUAGGGGAGCGUUCUGUAAGCCUGCGAAGGUGACCUGUGAGGGUUGCUGGAGGUAUCAGAAGUGCGAAUGCUGACAUAAGUAACGAUAAAGCGGGUGAAAAGCCCGCUCGCCGGAAGACCAAGGGUUCCUGUCCAACGUUAAUCGGGGCAGGGUGAGUCGACCCCUAAGGCGAGGCCGAAAGGCGUAGUCGAUGGGAAACAGGUUAAUAUUCCUGUACUUGGUGUUACUGCGAAGGGGGGACGGAGAAGGCUAUGUUAGCCGGGCGACGGUUGUCCCGGUUUAAGCAUGUAGGCUGGUUAUCCAGGCAAAUCCGGAUAAUCAAGGCUGAGGUGUGAUGACGAGGCACUACGGUGCUGAAGUAACAAAUGCCCUGCUUCCAGGAAAAGCCUCUAAGCAUCAGGUAACAUCAAAUCGUACCCCAAACCGACACAGGUGGUCAGGUAGAGAAUACCAAGGCGCUUGAGAGAACUCGGGUGAAGGAACUAGGCAAAAUGGUGCCGUAACUUCGGGAGAAGGCACGCUGGUGUGUAGGUGAAGUCCCUGCGGAUGGAGCUGAGACCAGUCGAAGAUACCAGCUGGCUGCAACUGUUUAUUAAAAACACAGCACUGUGCAAACACGAAAGUGGACGUAUACGGUGUGACGCCUGCCCGGUGCCGGAAGGUUAAUUGAUGGGGUUAUCCGUAAGGAGAAGCUCUUGAUCGAAGCCCCGGUAAACGGCGGCCGUAACUAUAACGGUCCUAAGGUAGCGAAAUUCCUUGUCGGGUAAGUUCCGACCUGCACGAAUGGCGUAAUGAUGGCCAGGCUGUCUCCACCCGAGACUCAGUGAAAUUGAACUCGCUGUGAAGAUGCAGUGUACCCGCGGCAAGACGGAAAGACCCCGUGAACCUUUACUAUAGCUUGACACUGAACAUUGAGCCUUGAUGUGUAGGAUAGGUGGGAGGCUUUGAAGCGUGGACGCCAGUCUGCGUGGAGCCAACCUUGAAAUACCACCCUUUAAUGUUUGAUGUUCUAACGUUGGCCCCUGACCGGGGUUGCGGACAGUGUCUGGUGGGUAGUUUGACUGGGGCGGUCUCCUCCCAAAGCGUAACGGAGGAGCACGAAGGUUAGCUAAUCCUGGUCGGACAUCAGGAGGUUAGUGCAAUGGCAUAAGCUAGCUUGACUGCGAGCGUGACGGCGCGAGCAGGUGCGAAAGCAGGUCAUAGUGAUCCGGUGGUUCUGAAUGGAAGGGCCAUCGCUCAACGGAUAAAAGGUACUCCGGGGAUAACAGGCUGAUACCGCCCAAGAGUUCAUAUCGACGGCGGUGUUUGGCACCUCGAUGUCGGCUCAUCACAUCCUGGGGCUGAAGUAGGUCCCAAGGGUAUGGCUGUUCGCCAUUUAAAGUGGUACGCGAGCUGGGUUUAGAACGUCGUGAGACAGUUCGGUCCCUAUCUGCCGUGGGCGCUGGAGAAUUGAGGGGGGCUGCUCCUAGUACGAGAGGACCGGAGUGGACGCAUCACUGGUGUUCGGGUUGUCAUGCCAAUGGCACUGCCCGGUAGCUAAAUGCGGAAGAGAUAAGUGCUGAAAGCAUCUAAGCACGAAACUUGCCCCGAGAUGAGUUCUCCCUGAGACUUUAAGUCUCCUGAAGGAACGUUGAAGACGACGACGUUGAUAGGCCGGGUGUGUAAGCGCAGCGAUGCGUUGAGCUAACCGGUACUAAUGAACCGUGAGGCUUAACCUUACAACGCCGAAG
This 2810-nucleotide ribosomal RNA is filed under the name Klebsiella pneumoniae. RNAcentral describes it as "bacterial LSU rRNA". It matches the Rfam family "Bacterial large subunit ribosomal RNA". The record is from RNAcentral. Lineage: Bacteria; Pseudomonadati; Pseudomonadota; Gammaproteobacteria; Enterobacterales; Enterobacteriaceae.